RNAcentral lists this transfer RNA (52 nucleotides) under Alitta succinea. Its description in RNAcentral is "tRNA-Arg". Lineage: Eukaryota; Metazoa; Annelida; Polychaeta; Phyllodocida; Nereididae. The record is from RNAcentral.
AGAUGUUAAAGCCCGAUUUCGGCUCGGGACAAGGCAAUAACUAGCCCAUCUU